GGGCCGCACCUGCGGCAUAUGGAGGUUCCCCAGCUGGGGCUCCAAUCCGAGCUGCAGCUGCCGGCCUACGCCACAACCAUAGCCAAGCGAGAUCCUGGCCGCGUCUCCGACCUACACCGCAGCUCAGCUCGAGGCAACGUCUGGUCUUUAACCCACUGAUAGAGACCGGGGAUGGAACCCGCAUCCUCACGGAUUUACUAUUCUCACUCUUAACCCACUGAGCCCCAACGGGAACUCCUUCACCUGUCCUUUAAAGAAUCCCCAAAGAUUUCCCUAAAGUACCCACCCUUCCCUUGUCCUCCCAAGCCCACAGACCCUCAGCUCCCCUCUCACCUGGAUGAGGAUCUUGCCAAGGCAGACAAAGGGGGUGCUGACCUCUGCCAUCAGCAAGCAGCCUAGAAAGAAAUCUCCUUUGCCUUGACGCCACACCUGCGAGGAGAGGAAGGAAAGAGCCUGGCACCCUGGAUUCCUGGGCAGCACCUGCCCUCCCUUGCUCCUCUCUGUCGCUUUUGGAGAUGCUUCGCUCUGAAAGCCUGAGCACAUGUGAACAGUAGCAAAACUGGGAGCACCCCUCCUGGAUCCCUCCCACCGUGCUGCAGACAGGAGGCCCUGGCUCUCAGAAGCCCCCACUCACCACCGACAGCGGGAAGCACACGAGCACCAUGACGGCGUGGUGGAGCACCAUGAGGAACUCCUUGUGCAGGAGGUGGAAACAAUGUAGCCAGCUGUGGAGGCCAUGACGGCUUGGACGGAGGACACGAGCCUAGGGAGGAAGAGGGAGCCGUCGGUUGGGGAGAAGAGGCGCCCCUUGGCUUCUCCUCUUGAUUGUCCAGUUACUGUGCUUCUCGGGUCACUCCCUGCCCAUCUUUCCCCAAGGCUGCCUUGCCCGGGGCUCAGCCCCAUUCAGACAGCAGUGAGCUCCUGGGUUCACCCCUUUCUCUGCCAUCUUCCUCCCCUCAACUGCGGACCCUGAGUCGCCGUCCCCUCAGGAGGACACCAGGGAGGUCAUCUUGAGGUUUAUUGUGCCCCUGGCUCCCCUUCCUCUGCAACUUCCUCUCCCCCUGGAAGAGGACCCUGGGGAUUGGCUGAUUCAAGCCCCUCAUCCAGCUGCAAGGAAAGGAGGCCCAGUGACUUGGCCAAGGUCCUGCAGCAGGUUGGAGUGGUUCUGCAGACCCCAGCAGAGGAGCGCGAAAGUCAACGGGAAGAAGACACAGCCCAGUACAAAAAGCAGGGUCAUGCCUGUCUGGGGGACAAAAGGACGUGUCUGAACACCCCGCGGAGGAAGAAGACAGCACCAGCCACUGCUGGCACGGGGCUGCAGCCCCUGGCUACACACACCUCCGAAAGACAGCGGCGACUUCGGACACCUCUCUCCCGCCCCAGCCUGACUCCCCAGGGGCGGUGUGAAACCAUGAGUGAUAAUAUCUCCAUCGCCAGCUUUGAACUUCAGACCUGGUGCCCUGUGCUGCCUCCUGCAUAAUGCAUGUGCUCGUGGUAGGAACAGAACCCCGUCCGUGGUGAGUCUGGCCACUGUGGGCCAUGGACGUGUCCAGAGGCCUUGCCAAGGCUGAUGUCUCUAGGAUGUUGGCAGGAAAUGAGGAGACAGAGGGAGUAUGUGUCACCUGAAAAUUUUCCUGGGGCUGAGGUGGGAACAGGUUGCAUCUUGAGCCUCAGGAUUCUGCAAAGAAAAUAGGGGAAGACAUGAGUUCCCAUGGCUCAGCGGUAAGGAACCAAAAUAAUACCCACGAGGACGUGGGUUUGAUCCUUGGCCCUGAUCAGUGGGUUAAGGAUCCGGCAUUGCUGUGAGAUGUGGUGUAGGCUGCAGACUUAGCUUGAAUCCUGCAUUGCUGGCUGUGGGGUAGGUCAGCAGCUGCAGCUCUGAUCUGCAGACCCUAAAAAA
This is an RNA transcript of Sus scrofa (pig), 1900 nucleotides long. It is a transcript of the gene named fertilization-influencing membrane protein, with no coding region annotated. Lineage: Eukaryota; Metazoa; Chordata; Mammalia; Artiodactyla; Suidae. The record is from RefSeq and is a predicted model, not a curated record.